UCACUGAUGGUGUAAUGGUAAACACGCCUGCCUUUGGUGCAGGCAGUGUGGGAUCAAUUCCCGCUCAGUGAU
Non-coding RNA from Syngnathoides biaculeatus (alligator pipefish), 72 nucleotides. The record is from the annotation of a RefSeq genome assembly. Lineage: Eukaryota; Metazoa; Chordata; Actinopteri; Syngnathiformes; Syngnathidae.